Molecule: ribosomal RNA, 121 nt
Filed under: Periophthalmus magnuspinnatus
Lineage: Eukaryota; Metazoa; Chordata; Actinopteri; Gobiiformes; Gobiidae
Source: RNAcentral
UUUUCCCAUCAUAUCAUCCUAAGAAUACCCAAACUCAUCUGAUCUCAGAAGCUAAGCAGGUUUGGUUCGAUUUAGUACUUGGUUAGGAGACGUCUGGGAAUUCCCGGUGCCACAGUGAGGC